UCAGAUUUCUUCUUUUCUGUUGUAGCUGGAAUUGGUUGCUCUUGUUGUUGGAUUACUUCAGGUUGAUUUAAGAUUUUUCCACUUCUAAGGGUCAUGAUCGAUUUGGCAUGUUCGAAAAAAGUUUCAAGACCAAUGGAGCUUUCAGCCAUGUACUGUCCUUUUGGGUUAUUAAUAGGCUGACUGGGUAAUUUGCCUUCUUCCCUCCUACUGAAAGCUGUUGCUAGCUGACCUAUCUGGGUCUCUAGCUUUGCUAUUGAUUGCGUAUGGGAAUGAAGGAGUUGGGUAUUCAUUUCUAGUCCUUUAAGUGCUUGCAGUACCUUUUCUUCGAAAGUCGAGCUAUGAGUACUCGAAGUGGGUUGAGGAGGGUUCUGGUAUUGUGGC
Molecule: long non-coding RNA, 381 nt
Filed under: Elaeis guineensis (African oil palm)
Lineage: Eukaryota; Viridiplantae; Streptophyta; Magnoliopsida; Arecales; Arecaceae
Description: long non-coding RNA (EGUI_LNC082895)
Source: RNAcentral